RNAcentral lists this long non-coding RNA (483 nucleotides) under Homo sapiens (human). Its description in RNAcentral is "non-protein coding lnc-DCPS-1:1". The record is from RNAcentral. Lineage: Eukaryota; Metazoa; Chordata; Mammalia; Primates; Hominidae.
CCAACAUGAAACAGAAAAAUACCAUCUCAGGCUCCAUAUUCCAUGUCCCUGUUGAAUACAGAUCCCCGAACUGAGAAAUAAGAAACAACUACAUACGAAGUAAUACUUGAAAAUGUUUCUCUUGUAAUACUUCCAUAUCCAAAGCAUUUGAAUAUAUUUAUUUUAUUGAUGUAGGUCUGCCAACUCUUCCUUCUCAGGAAGGACUGUUUUUAUUCCAAACAUGUAUAUAUAAGGUUAAAAUGUAUUUUUUAAAAUAAGAUAAUUAUUGAUAGUUGUUUUUAAAAUAGCCUUGCUUAGCAAAAUAAAUGUUGGCAACCCUAAGUUUGUUCUAUUAUAAUAUUAUUGAAAUUACAUUGAAUUCUGAAAUCCAUGUCAACUUGAAGUUACCAAGUUUUAACCACUGUUAGAAAAUAAGCAGGAAUGAAAUCUGUUUCAAGCGUUUCAAUUUCAAUACAAUUUAAUAAACAGGCUUUGAGCAUCUAC